Molecule: long non-coding RNA, 5673 nt
Organism: Vespa mandarinia (Asian giant hornet)
Lineage: Eukaryota; Metazoa; Arthropoda; Insecta; Hymenoptera; Vespidae
Source: RefSeq, a predicted model, not a curated record
UAUCUAUCUAUCUUUCUCGUUAGAGCCCCACGUUCAAUACCUGGUCUUCCCCCAAAACGUUUUUCAUCGCUAUUAAAAAUAUCGUUUCUUGCGUGUGCAACGUGUGCUUGCUAACCGUUGUACUCUUUUAUUUUCAGUGAAAGCAACGAUCUCCAGGAGGAGUGGAAGCUUUGUUGAAAUUCCACAACGUGCCGGCACGUGAUCAAUCGCGUUUGGCCUAUUAACGAGUACCUCUCCUACGCUACCAGCUCGUCCAACUAUAAUAGAGUGGACAGCGCGACGAUGAGCAAGAACAGACAGAAGAGCAAGUUCAGUGACCGUUAAAGCUUCUCGAAUUGAACGACGGAAGGAACGUGCGGAAAAAGAGGAGAAAAAACUACUCGAUCCCGUCUACACCCUAAGACGCACCCACACACGAUAUCCCACAAUGUGUAUAUCCAGUGCUUGUACGGAAUCGCUGAGGAAGCUUUUAUCUCUUUCUAUCUGUUUCUAGAGAAGCGCCGUAUGGACGAUAGCGUACGAGGUCGACUCAUACGAUAUAACCGGUUGUUCGUCCAUAAAAUAAUUACAAUAUUUUAAUUACGAAUAAGAUCCGACAUUGGAUAGUUAUUUCGAUAAGUUCCACGUUUGUUCCAAUAAACUCCGAAACCAUGGAGUCAAUUAGUUUUUAUUUUCGUUGAUAAAAUUCACAGGUCAAGUAUUUUCUACUGUUUGCCACCAUAUAGAUACAAUCGCCAACUAAUAUAAUGACGAAAAUGAAUAGGCGGUGCGGAUUAGAGGAAGAGAAUAGUACUCUCAGCUACAGCUAUUUUCGAAAGGAGUAGCAAUGCCAGCGCGUGAUUAUGCAAUAUCGCGGUGAAUAAUCCAGUCCGGAUUGACGGUGUUUAAGAGACCUUGAGACUGCGUUUCUCUCUCUCUCUCUCUCUCUCUCUCUCUCUCUCUCUCUCUCUCUCUCUCUCUCUCUCUCUCUCUCUGCUGAACAACAAGAUUCCGCACACGUACGAGAAUCACUCCUCAUCUUCUAAAGGCCAUCAGCGAGAUGAGUAGAGCACCUAGCUACAAUUACUUCGACCAAACGCAUUAAUCUCGUAUUCGAAGGAAUAUCGAUUUAAGAAAAAUGGUUUAACAGAUAAUUAAGUUCUAAUUUCAUUAGAACAUAAGAGAAAGGAACGUGACAUAACAUGACGUCGCUUCUAAUUCUCUAAAUCGUACCUUUGGAUCUAUCUACACAUUAAUCACAUUACCUUUUCCUUAAACGACAUCAAAGUGAGUCGUUUGCAUCGCAUUUGGACCAUGGUCCAAUAGCUGUCCUGUGUCGCUUUGCUUUCUAUAGCAGGUUCACUCGAGUCUAACUCAAAUGAAAAAAGCUCUCCUUCGGGUUUCUGCUUGGACGAUGAAACAACCUGCCGUCGGGAGCUCGAAAACAUGCUGCACCGGAGGAUGGAUUAAAGAUAAUCUCUCACUUGGAAUGUUCUCUUUAACCGUUUAACAACCGCACGUCGAUAAAGAUCCGAUCGCAUGGCGAUUACAUCAGCGUUAAAUCCGUAUCGUUGUCUAUCCCGCUAGGCGGAAAACGUUCGUGCGGUUUAUGUCAUUAUCAUGCCAGUAGACGCAAUCUAAGAAGCACACGCUGCUGGUUGAACGUGAAAGAGAAAUGUAAUAACGGUCGAGUGUCGGUAAUGGUAAUUACCGUUCAAUGGAGGACGACAUUUGCAUGAAAUUUGCACAUACACGAUCAUAAAAGUUGUAGAUUCAUAUGCCAUUGCGAAGCAUCCCAGUCGAAAGUAUAAUAUCGAUUUCCAUCUUCUUAAUAGGUAUUAAGUAAUUUCGUUUCUCACUGUGUUAAUAUCUUGUGGGCUAAGUGUAAAAUUCUUGAAUAGAAUUGCCCUUGAUGACAUCACGUAUGACAAAUUGAUGAAGUGUGACCCAUUUUCUCUUCCUGCACCCUUUACAUUACCAACUAUGCCCAAUGUCGUCGGUCCCAAUGAGAUGACGUCGCCUCGAUAUUAACUUACGGCAUGACAAUCGAUGACAUCAUUUAUUGAGAAUUACGACGAACGUACGUUCGGAUUUGAGCAACAACGUGAAGUAGAAUCAUUCAUCUGUCAUUUAAAUAUGCGCAAAUCGCCGGUAUCGCUAGCAUUGUUUCAUGAAUGAGUCAGCGACCGAUUUGUGUUAUCUCUCGCUCUCUCCCUUAUCUUCCUCGUUCGGUGAUCGUAAUCGCCGAUCGUUUCCAUUAGAUAAUUUUAUUGCACGAAGAGUAAAAUUGUUCUUUUCUUUUUUUACUUUUUUCUUUCAAAGAGAACAUUUUCUUUACAAUUUGGACGAAUACAAUUUGAAUUUGAUCGCAAAGAUUAAAAGAAAAUUGAAGCGUUUGGCUUUAAAACGUUGCCGUGCAGUAUCGGAUGCAGUAAAGCAUACGAAUCCAGCGUAAAGUACGAAGUCUAUGCACGUGGGCGUAGAAAGGAGGGUGCGUACAAAGGCUGAGUAAAAGGCGAGGGGUCGAAGUUAGAAUGGGAGAGGGAGUGCGGAAAAGGGAGAACUGGCAGGAACGGCAGACAUUGGAAUCGAUAAUAAAACGGCGCGUCGUCGCGCAGCAUCCCUUGGUGCCUGCUCGCGGUUGGAGGCACUUCUCUUGGAUGUUAACGAUUUGAAAUAUUCGCAGCUUUGUUAAUAUUUUUACGUAUUAGGUCGAAGAAAGAGGAAAAAAGAAAAAUACAACGCGUCCAGACACAUUUCGUUAGUAGAUAAUAUGGUGCUCGAACGCGGUACUUUCGAUGAGAAGCGAAAAGUAGUAACAAAGAGAGAUAGGAAGAAGGAUAGGUUUCUAGAGUAGCGCGCCUAAUGAGAAGUGCAAAGCUAUUAAAAAGACAGGCUCCGUUUGUUAAAGCGUGAUCAAAAUGAAGUUAAUUUGCGUAGACGUAAGUCGAGGGUGUCUGCCUGCAGACACCCUUAGAAAAAUUUCAAGUCUUGCCAGCAGUACAAGUAGCCACGUACGCGUGUCGUGUAAAAGGGUGUGUUCAAUUUAAUGUUCGAGAUGGGUACGCUCGCUCGCGACUCACGAAACGACUCACCGAAUUCAUUGAUAUAAGAAACAAUAGGUAUUUUUCAAGUUUAUAAAUAAUUCGAGUGACUUUGAAAUGGUCACUUUUAUUGGUUACGGAUAUUUUGUGUGCAUAUAAUUAGAUGUUGUGCGUAAGUGCAUAAGUCGUCUUUAAUUCGUUGAAAAUGAUCGAGGGCACACCUAAAUCGUACCGUCAACUUGGAUAUUUAUUUCGAGGCGUAACUGAUCGGUGGUGUAGAAUUAUCUGUGCGCUGUAUCGACUUACCGAUAAUACCACGCUACCGGUUUAAUCGACCGAAUCGUCGUCUCAGUUUCGACGCUUGAGUUGCCACAAAAAGAGAUGAUACUUUGUGCGUCUCGUCAAAGCGUAGAAAUUUUAACACGUAUUCCUAGUAUUUUCCCAUUUACUGUCAUUAUAUAUAUAUAUAUAUAUAUGAUUAGUCUCAACGCCACGUUAUACGUAUCCAAUUAUCUAUUGAAACGAAUGGAAUACCAACGAAUUUGCUCCAAACGCGUUGAAGUUUAAUAAUAUUUAGAUUGGCUACGCAAUCAGAAAAGAUAAGUUUUAAGUAUCGUCGCCAACUAAAUGAAAUUAAAGGGGAUAAGUGAAACAAUAAAAAAUGGCUAAAGAAGAAAAUGGAAGAAGACGGAACGAGAGAAGAGAAUUAGCAUCCUUGACGAGUGAGUUUGCGCGCGAUAUACGAGUAGCAUGCGUGUAUAAUGAAAACUAGCCACUUCAAACAGGUAUCGGCCCGGCACGUUCUGUCUCUCCAAAAAUAGCAACGUGUCACCUUUUCCUUUGCCUUCGACCAAUUCCCCACGAUCCGAUAUAAAAAUACCUUGUCUUAUUUUUUUUCCCGCAUCUAAAGCGAUUUCGCGAUCGUACAUAUGCGCGUACAUAUGUACACACAUACAUAUAUAUAUAUAUAUAUAUAUAUAUAUAUAUAUAUAUAUAUGUAUGUACGAAUGCUUGUUCCUAAUAAUAAAGUGUUGUAACCGAAAUAUUGGAGAAGCAAACAUAGUUUUAGUUUUAGUCGCGUAGAAAUGUCGAAAUUGACGCGGAGAAUCGUAAACGAUCAUUAUAAUUGAUAUCAUUUAAGAGGAUGAUGCCUGAACAGUGUUACAGCAACGAGGUCGCAAUACCGGUACAAUUAAACGACAACUGGAUUAGCACUGUAAGAGAAAGAGGUGAAGUUAGACCAUGAAGAUAUCCGAAGCAAAAGCUCCAUCGAAUUCGAUAUAGAUAACGGGUUAGACAUUGAGCCACUUUAAUGGCUCAACUUAAUGACAUAAAUCAUUAAAUUCGCAAGGAAUAUCACAACUCCACAAUGGGACAGUACACUCAUAAGUCUUUCCGUAUCGAUAGCAUCGCCACAAGAAUACGUACUAGCAAAGAAACGUGGUAGUCGAAUGAAUGGCUCGACUGUUUCCUCACAAACUCUGACGUUUCAUGCACAAAAUGCCGACAUGUUGCGCGAUAAUGAAACGUAAAUUAAUAAGUCGACGAUGAAUAAGAAAGUGGGAAACCGGCGUCAAAGCGAUUUAUUAUGAACGCUUAAACAUUUGCCCUAUCGAAUUAAAAACUCAAUGUGGUCCCUGCAAUGAUAUUUUAUUCGUUCGUAAUAUAUAUGUAUAUAUAUAUAUAUAUAUAUAUAUCAUAAGCGUAUUAAAGAAGAAAAAUCUCUGUUAUUGCUUUAUUCCGUAGAGAAACAUGGAAGAAAUAUUUUAAUUCGUUUCUUGAAUCUUUUCGCGAGAAGAGAAUAUCAAUUGGCAAUGUAAUUGCUCGCAGCGUGUGGAUGUUGUGUGUGCGUGCGCGCAUGUCUGCGUAAAGGAUUGUUGUUAACGAGAUGGGAAGAAGAAUUAAGGAGAAGGAAUUAUCGCUUGGCGUAUUCGUUGUAUGUAUGUUGUUCGUAAAAAGCCGUAACCGGGCUUUCUGAUCCAGUACGAAGAGAAGAGUUUCGAAGAUACAACGAUACAACGUCGAAUAACGGGGAAAUUAAAGCGGUUACUUCGAAAAGAGGUGGAUGAAAGCAGGGAGAAGGGUACGUUCGUCGUAGCCUUCUUCAUUCGGCACAUCGCGUUCAAACGCAUGCACGAGAAAACGAUUUGCAACGUAUGUGUACGUGUUCGUGUUAUUUAACGAGGUCAUCCACUUUCUUUUUUCCUUUUUUUCUUUUUACCAACGACAGCCAGGGUAAAGUACUAGCGCCUGUUAACGUUCAGAUUCUACUAUUCACGUGUUGCUCUUUUGAGGUAUCUAAAACUCUCAACAAACUCAAGAAACCAUUUUUUGCCUUUGAUAGCAGGAAAGAUUAUAACUGAUGCAACCAAUAUAGGAUGUUCCACUUUUCAUACUGAGAAAAUCAGGUGGUCGGAUCGAUCGUCGAAUUGGUCCUCCCUGCGUGUUAGUUGCGUUCACGCUGUCACCUUCUCGAUAGAGCUAGACGCUGAGCAGGAGCUCGAAGGAAAACCGGGUCAGAAGCGGAUAUAGGUAUCGAUAGUCCGACACCACCGCCCAUUUAGAGGGUAGUAUUCUUCUCUCUCUCCCUCCCUCUGUCUCUCUGUCUCUCGCUCGCGCUCUCUCUCUCUCUCUCUCUCCCCCUCUCUCU